UACGAAGGGGGCUAGCGUUGCUCGGAAUCACUGGGCGUAAAGCGCACGUAGGCGGAUUGCUAAGUCAGGGGUGAAAUCCUGGAGCUCAACUCCAGAACUGCCCUUGAUACUGGCGGUCUCGAGUCCGGGAGAGGUGAGUGGAACUGCGAGUGUAGAGGUGAAAUUCGUAGAUAUUCGCAAGAACACCAGUGGCGAAGGCGGCUCACUGGCCCGGUACUGACGCUGAGGUGCGAAAGCGUGGGGAUCAAACAGG
RNAcentral lists this ribosomal RNA (253 nucleotides) under uncultured bacterium. RNAcentral describes it as "partial 16S ribosomal RNA". It matches the Rfam family "Bacterial small subunit ribosomal RNA", at positions 524 to 776 of the family's 1533-position model. The record is from RNAcentral.